UGAGUAACACGUGAGUGACCUGCCUUUUAGACUGGAACAACUUACCGAAAGGUGAGCUAAUGCCGGAUGAGGUAUAUAAGUGCAUGUUUAUAUAGGAAAAGUUGGGGAGACCUGACGCUGAAAGAUGGACUCGCGUCCCAUUAGCUAGUUGGUAGGGUAAUGGCCUACCAAGGCGACGAUGGGUAGCCGGCCUGAGAGGGUGGCCGGCCACACUGGGACUGAGACACGGCCCAGACUCCUACGGGAGGCAGCAG
This 254-nucleotide ribosomal RNA is filed under the name uncultured bacterium. RNAcentral describes it as "partial 16S ribosomal RNA". It matches the Rfam family "Bacterial small subunit ribosomal RNA", at positions 107 to 354 of the family's 1533-position model. The record is from RNAcentral.